GACGAACGCUGGCGGCGUGCCUAAUACAUGCGAGUAGAACGCUGAAGGAGGAGCUUGCUCUUCUGGAUGAGUUGCGAACGGGUGAGUAACGCGUAGGUAACCUGCUUGGUAGCGGGGGAUAACUAUUGGAAACGAUAGCUAAUACCGCAUAAUAGUAGAUGUUGCAUGAUAUUUACUUAAAAGGUGCAAUUGCACCACUACCAGAUGGACCUGCGUUGUAUUAGCUAGUUGGUGGGGUAACGGCUCACCAAGGCGACGAUACAUAGCCGACCUGAGAGGGUGAUCGGCCACACUGGGACUGAGACACGGCCCAGACUCCUACGGGAGGCAGCAGUAGGGAAUCUUCGGCAAUGGACGAAAGUCUGACCGAGCAACGCCGCGUGAGUGAAGAAGGUUUUCGGAUCGUAAAGCUCUGUUGUAAGAGAAGAACGAGUGUGAGAGUGGAAAGUUCACACUGUGACGGUAUCUUACCAGAAAGGGACGGCUAACUACGUG
This 495-nucleotide ribosomal RNA is filed under the name uncultured bacterium. RNAcentral's name for it is "partial 16S ribosomal RNA". It matches the Rfam family "Bacterial small subunit ribosomal RNA", at positions 28 to 507 of the family's 1533-position model. The record is from RNAcentral.